Molecule: non-coding RNA, 1122 nt
Organism: Leucoraja erinaceus (little skate)
Lineage: Eukaryota; Metazoa; Chordata; Chondrichthyes; Rajiformes; Rajidae
Source: the annotation of a RefSeq genome assembly
UUCCUCACAAAAGCCGAGCCGAGUUUCCCCUGUUACAGCGAUGAAGACGUUUCCUUCCCCCACCCAGUCACUACAUGCCUAACCUGAAAGAACGCUUACCGAGUCCCAACUGGGGAGGAAGUUGAGGUAGGCGGAAGUCUGCCGCUUCCCGCCCACCUUUACCACAGCGCCACCAGCACCAGCAGGAGAGGCGAGAACAUCCGAAAGCCGCACAGCACCAGAUCGAGGAGAGAAUUUCACAAAGGGUUUUUCACAGGGAAAAUGCGCGUACUUGCCAUUUGGAUUGUGUGGGGAGCAUGCCUGAUAGAUCCCAAUCAUGGAGAUACCGUCACACAAUCGCUACCGUCAGCACAGAAGGUGGAAGGAGAGUCGGUGACUUUCAGCUGCACCUAUGACACCGCAGAAACGAGCUACGUCUUAUUUUGGUACCGGCAUCACCAGGACUCAAAGCCCGAGUUCAUACUGAAUAAAUAUUCAAGUGGAAGCGAGGAGAAAGCCGAUUUUGCAGGCGAUCGCUUCGCUGCCCAGCUCCAGACCGAUAGAAAAUUAGUCAGUUUAUCCCUAUCGGGCCUGGAGCUGAGCGACUCUGCUGUUUAUUACUGCGCCUUUAGCCGCACAGUGAUGGAAACCAGUGAAACCUUCAUACAAAAACAUCAGCUUCUGCUUUGCCUGCUGCAGUGAGAUACGCCUGCACCGCGCUUGCUGGUUGUGGUUUCCAGCCGCCUGAGAAUUCUUCUCAACUCACUCAGUUUCUCUCGAGGGCGGCUUGCGGUGUCAUCGGCGCAGCUGAAACCCACCGACUCCCUUUCUGUGCUCCGUGCUGAGGGCGGCAUCUGUGUGAACAGAAUCGCCAUGUCUGGUGUCUGGAAAACACAUGGAUUGGGUUUAGAUUUAUAAUGGUCAGAGAUAUAGUGAUGAACUGUGCUUUACAUACUAGCUGGCAGACCAGAUAACGAUCCAUAAAUACAACCCAUUCAAACCGAAGUGCAAUAGAUAGAGCAAAGGGAAAGAUACAGAGUGCAGAAUAAAGUUCUCCACAUUGUAGCGCAUCAAUUCCAGAAUCAAAUCCCAAUGUCCACAAUGGGGUCGAUGUGCACCGGCCUGUGCUCUACUUUACGGAGU